This 76-nucleotide transfer RNA is filed under the name Haloarcula vallismortis. RNAcentral's name for it is "tRNA_Ile_TAT". It matches the Rfam family "tRNA". Rfam says of the family: Transfer RNA (tRNA) molecules are approximately 80 nucleotides in length. Their secondary structure includes four short double-helical elements and three loops (D, anti-codon, and T loops). Lineage: Archaea; Methanobacteriati; Methanobacteriota; Halobacteria; Halobacteriales; Haloarculaceae. RNAcentral also lists the same sequence under 1 other name. The record is from RNAcentral.
GGAAGCGUAGCUCAGCUUGGCGUAGAGCACCGUCCCUAUAAGGCGGCAGUCGGAGGUUCAAAUCCUCCCGCUUUCA